GCUCCUGUAGUCUAGUCCGGUCAAGGAUGCGACCCUCUCGCGGUUGCGACCCGGGUUCAAAUCCCGGCGGGAGCA
Molecule: transfer RNA, 75 nt
Filed under: Candidatus Woesearchaeota archaeon
Lineage: Archaea; Nanobdellati; Candidatus Woesearchaeota
Description: tRNA-Glu
Rfam family: tRNA
About the family: Transfer RNA (tRNA) molecules are approximately 80 nucleotides in length. Their secondary structure includes four short double-helical elements and three loops (D, anti-codon, and T loops).
Source: RNAcentral